Molecule: long non-coding RNA, 1211 nt
Organism: Hyaena hyaena (striped hyena)
Lineage: Eukaryota; Metazoa; Chordata; Mammalia; Carnivora; Hyaenidae
Exons: 6
Source: RefSeq, a predicted model, not a curated record
UUGACGACAGGAUGUCAGACAGGAGGAGGACUGUGACGUAUGAUCUGCAGGAGGGGUCCCUUCGGAUUUCCACUGCACGUCACCUUGACUUCCUCAGCUAAACAACGAAGCAAUUGGACACAUCUUGUCUGUAACUACUCCAGAUCUUUCCCGGGUCUGCUCAGGGGCAGUGCACUUAAUCUCCACAUGUAACAGAUUUUCCAGGAUGGUCCCAAGUGCAAAUACAUUGUUUGGGAGUGUGGUCAAGGUGGCCUGUACCACCCUGUCAAAAGGCACAGUUCUUUCUCUCAAGAAGCCUGUGGUUAGGGGGUGAAGCCACUUUGCCAUAUCACUCAGUGCCGUCACGGUAGAUGUGCGUGGUUACCGUAUAGGUCUAGGCACAUGACCUUCCUUGGUCCUGAUCCGUCCUUCUCUCUGUGGAGGACACUUUUGACCACAUCUUACAUGAGAGGUCUGCUUUUGACUUGGAAGAAUCUACUUUUUAUCUGGAGUUUGGACCCUGUCCCCAACCAGCAGGUAGCAUGAACACCAGGAGGAUGCACCUGUCACUAAGCAGUCUCCUCUGGCUUGCACAAAGGACCGCAGGGUAUCGGUGCUAGGAGAUGUGCCUUCAGCCAGCUUCACAACUUGUUGGUGACUGUCACAUAAACAAAGCACAUGUGUCUGGGAAGACACCUGCAGACUGGAAGAGACUGUCCCCGAGAAGCCUUUGUGUGAUGACCCACAGACCCACAGGAUGCUGGGCCAGGUGCGGGUCUGUGGUCACUGCUCAUCUCUGCCCUGUGAGAACGGAAGCUGAGAUUUAUAGCCCACAUUCUAUCAGUCUUCUUAUGCAGAGCCUCCGUGGAGCAAAGGGGUCUUCUGGGCUUGAAGCCCCAUCCCUCAGCUGCUCCACGGCCUCUCCCAGAGACUUGCGGAACACCUUGGAGGAUCCUGGAGUUCAUGGAACACAGCUUAGAAACCUGUGGAGAGGCCUAAUUCAUUCCACAUAUUAGACUUUGAAGUAGUAUUCCCACAGCUGCUUGAGAACAUUGGACCCUUUGGAUCUUAGGACCCUUAGGACUCCUACCCACUUUUUAACUCUUCCAUCCAUAAAGCAAGUUCGGGAAAUGCUACGGCCUGUAAGCCCCAACUGGUGGCUCAUCACCCCAAGAGCCCAGCCAAGGUCCUGAGAAGUCCUGCAUGAAAGAGACCUCUUCUGUUUUGCAUAA